UAGGGAAUAUUGCACAAUGGGGAAGACCCUGAUGCAGCGACGCCGCGUGAAGGAAGAAGUAUCUCGGUAUGUAAACUUCUAUCAGCAGGGAAGACAAUGACGGUACCUGACUAAGAAGCCCCGGCUAACUACGCUGCCAGCAGCCGCGGUAAUACGUAGGGGCAAGCGUUAUCCGGAUUUACUGGGUGUAAAGGGAGCGUAGACGGAUCUGCAAGUCUGGAGUGAAAGCCCGGGGCUCAACCCCGGGCACUGCUUUGGAAAUCUGUGGAUCUAGAGUGCCGGAGAGGUAAGCGGAAUUUCCUAGUGUAGCGGUGAAAUGCGUAGAUAUAUGGAGAAACACCAGUGGCGAAGGCGGCUUUCUGGUCUGUAACUGACGCUGAGGCUCGAAAGCGUGGGGAGCAAACAGGAUUAGAUACCC
RNAcentral lists this ribosomal RNA (418 nucleotides) under uncultured bacterium. Its description in RNAcentral is "bacterial SSU rRNA". It matches the Rfam family "Bacterial small subunit ribosomal RNA", at positions 355 to 787 of the family's 1533-position model. The record is from RNAcentral.